UACGUAGGGGGCAAGCGUUGUCCGGAUUUAUUGGGCGUAAAGCGCUCGCAGGUGGUUCGUUGCGUCGUGCGUGAAAGACCCCGGCUCAACUGGGGGAUGUCGUGCGAUACGGGCGGACUGGAGGCCAGUAGGGGGAUGCGGAAUUCCGGGUGUAGUGGUGAAAUGCGUAGAGAUCGGGAGGAACACCCGUAGCGAAGGCGGCCGACUGGACCACACCUGACGCUGAGGCGCGAAGGCCAGGGGAGCGAACGGG
This 253-nucleotide ribosomal RNA is filed under the name uncultured bacterium. Its description in RNAcentral is "partial 16S ribosomal RNA". It matches the Rfam family "Bacterial small subunit ribosomal RNA", at positions 524 to 776 of the family's 1533-position model. The record is from RNAcentral.